GUUUCCUGCUAUAUGAGGUACUGGGAAGUGAGUUGAAGAUUAUGGGACGAACUAACGGAAAAGGAGAUGCAAAGAUGACAGAAAGGAAAAUGCACAUCUAUUUUGCAGACCUAAAGAUAUCAGUCGCCGCUCACCUACACUUCAGGAAAAUUGAUGAACGAAGUGCAGUUCUUCUUCUCAGACCUAUUUUUCAUUCAGUUUGGAACUAGUGCCCCCUGCAUCUGUGGAUCAAUUUAUUGCCUGGCAUUCGAUGUCGGUGACAAUCUACCCGAACGACUCAUGUAUUGUAUUUUGUUCGUAUACUACAU
Long non-coding RNA from Bradysia coprophila, 308 nucleotides. The record is from RefSeq and is a predicted model, not a curated record. Lineage: Eukaryota; Metazoa; Arthropoda; Insecta; Diptera; Sciaridae.